UGGCAAGAACUGCACUGUCAAGGCUGC
RNAcentral lists this non-coding RNA (27 nucleotides) under Homo sapiens (human). Lineage: Eukaryota; Metazoa; Chordata; Mammalia; Primates; Hominidae. The record is from RNAcentral.